Phoenix dactylifera (date palm) is the source of this 1611-nucleotide non-coding RNA. Lineage: Eukaryota; Viridiplantae; Streptophyta; Magnoliopsida; Arecales; Arecaceae. The record is from RefSeq and is a predicted model, not a curated record.
GAUCCUGGUCGUCUAUCAAUUAUUCCCGACAAACACUGUGACUGAUUGGAUUUUAGACCACGUUGAUACCAUCCAUCAUUAACAAAGUUCACAGAUCAAUGGUCAGGAUCAUCCAAUCAAGUUGAAGCAAAGUUGCCCCACGCGGCUACGCGUGUAAUUUUCUUGCUCUUCAAAAAUAUCAAACCUUGUGUUAGAAACUUAGAAUUGUUGUGGAAAAAAAGAUAGAGAACAAAAGUCAGCGGCAUGGAAGUCAACCACAUUUCCUACUCUCAUCCUCCCUGCUCUUCCGAUUCAAACCCUAACCCUAGAAUUCUCCUCCCCCGCCAUGGUGACUUCCGAUGCUCUCCCGUCCCCUCGGGCUUCUCUGGCCUAUCCCAUCUUUCUCGCUCUCGUCUCCUUUCCCUUCGUGUCGUGAAGCUCAUCCGAAUCCGGUGUAUCUCUUCUUCUCUCCACUCUUCCAACGCUUCCGCUGUAGCUGAAAAGCCCUCUACUUCAUUGAAGACUGGUAAAUGGCAAUGGAAAUUUGAUGGCAAUUCUGUCAACAUCUACUAUGAGGAACAUGAGGGGAAGAGUGCUGCCAGUGCCAAGAAUAUUCUAAUGGUACCUACGAUCUCAGAUGUUAGCUCUAUGGAGGAAUGGAGAACAGUUGCUAAAGAUAUUGUUCAGUGAGAUUGAGGAGUUAAAUACCAUGCUACCAUAGUUGAUUGGCCUGGUUUGGGUUAUUCGGAUAGGCCUUCACUUAAUUACAAUGCUGAUCUCGUGGAAGAUUUCUUAGUUCAGUUUAUGCAUGCUCCAGAUAGCCCUUUGACACCUUCAGCUAUUUUCUUAGCUGGAUGGGAAGAUACAUUGGUUGUAUCAACUGCAAAUGCUCCCAAGAGGUCCAAGGCUAAGAUGGAUGAUCUCAAGGAGGCCAAAGGUGUUGCCGUAUUUGUGGAGGUACCAGGGGCCCUCCUACCACAGGAGGAGUAUCCUUUUACAGUUGCCAAAGAGCUCCACAAGUUUUUGCAGAAGAGUUUUGCAGCAAGGAGCUGAUGAAGAUGCCAAUUCUGAACAAUAGCAAUCCAAUUUGUUGUUCUUUACAAAUUUAUAUUUUCUUACUUGAAUAAUAAAUUCAUAAAAUUAGAAGUUAAUCUCAGAAUUGGGAGUUUUUAAAGUUUUGGAUUUACACCGACUAAAAAUUAGUCUCUGUUAUGCUUUAUUUCAUUGUGAUCCUUUUAUGGCUUUUUAUGAAGCUUAAAUGUCAAAAUGCAUUUGAAAUGUUACACACAGGAGUUUUCCAUACUCCAUAAAGUUUUUAAAAUGGUAUUUUCUUGAAAGAAAGAGAAAAAGAAAAAUGUCCAAGACCUUCAAUGAAGAGAGAGGCAACAACAUGAAGUCAGAGAAGGAUAGUUGAGGCCUUGAAUCACAAAAUGCUACCCUGCUGCUUUUAAAUUUUAAUGAUUAAUAUUUACCUGAAGUAACUCAGUUGUGGUCGAGACUGUCAACAUGUCAGAUUACAAGUAUCACAUCCAAGAAGAUUUGCAUUCACAUGGGAAGCUAAUCGUAUGUGCAUCAAUUCAGGUUUGCCUAGGAUCCAGACCCCAUCAUUAUUGGAUUUUAAACUUGUAUUUG